RNAcentral lists this ribosomal RNA (497 nucleotides) under uncultured bacterium. Its description in RNAcentral is "partial 16S ribosomal RNA". It matches the Rfam family "Bacterial small subunit ribosomal RNA", at positions 28 to 507 of the family's 1533-position model. The record is from RNAcentral.
GAUGAACGCUGGCGGCGUGCCUAAUACAUGCAAGUCGAGCGAACGGACGAGAAGCUUGCUUUUCUGAUGUUAGCGGCGGACGGGUGAGUAACACGUGGAUAACCUACCUAUAAGACUGGGAUAACUUCGGGAAACCGGAGCUAAUACCGGAUAAUAUUUUGAACCGCAUGGUUCAUAAGUGAAAGACGGUCUUGCUGUCACUUAUAGAUGGAUCCGCGCUGCAUUAGCUAGUUGGUAAGGUAACGGCUUACCAAGGCAACGAUGCAUAGCCGACCUGAGAGGGUGAUCGGCCACACUGGAACUGAGACACGGUCCAGACUCCUACGGGAGGCAGCAGUAGGGAAUCUUCCGCAAUGGGCGAAAGCCUGACGGAGCAACGCCGCGUGAGCGAUGAAGGUCUUCGGAUCGUAAAACUCUGUUAUUAGGGAAGAACAUAUGUGUAAGUAACUGUGCACAUCUUGACGGUACCUAAUCAGAAAGCCGCGGCUAACUACGUG